CCAGACUCCUACGGGAGGCAGCAGUGAGGAAUAUUGGUCAAUGGUCGGGAGACUGAACCAGCCAAGCCGCGUGAGGGAGGAAGGUACAGAGUAUCGUAAACCUCUUUUGUCAGGGAACAAAGGCGGGGACUAGUCCCCGGAUGAGGGUACCUGAAGAAAAAGCAUCGGCUAACUCCGUGCCAGCAGCCGCGGUAAUACGGAGGAUGCGAGCGUUAUCCGGAUUUAUUGGGUUUAAAGGGUGCGCAGGCGGCUUUUUAAGUCGGGGGUAAAAGCCGGGGGCCCACCCCCGGCGAGCCGUUGAAACUGGCGGGCUGGAGUUGGAGAGAAGUACGCGGAAUGCGCGGUGUAGCGGUGAAAUGCUUAGAUAUCGCGCAGAACCCCGAUUGCGAAGGCAGCAUACCGGCGCCCAACUGACGCUCAGGCACGAAAGCGUGGGUAUCGAACAGGAUUAGAUACCCCCGUAU
RNAcentral lists this ribosomal RNA (464 nucleotides) under uncultured bacterium. Its description in RNAcentral is "bacterial SSU rRNA". It matches the Rfam family "Bacterial small subunit ribosomal RNA", at positions 331 to 793 of the family's 1533-position model. The record is from RNAcentral.